CCGGGUUUGUGAGAGCAUUGUAGUACAACUCUGAGCGGUGGAUCACUCGGCUCGUGUGUCGAUGAAGAGUGCAGCCAACUGUGUGAAUUAAUGUGACCUGCGGAAUGCUUUGAACAUCGACAUCUUGAACGCAUAUUGCGGCCGCGGGGUAUCCCGUGGCCACGCCUGGCCGAGGGUCGGCUUAUCAUUUAUCACGACGCCCAAUUAGUCGUGGCUUGGAAGUUGUGCCAGCUGGCUUGUUUUCCCCAAUCAUGGGGUGCUGUGCUAUGGCUCCUUCCUAAUGUGUCCGGUUACAUCCAACGUGGGAUUUGAUUCUCGGGUUGGGAUGUGGCGUUGGAUAUUGCAUGAGUCGUGGCUCAAUGAUUUGAUCGCGCUCAUGCCUUGUUCACGCUAUGUUCCUUUUCGAAGAUCGGUUUCAUAUAAUGGGCAAUGUAACUGAUGCGGUGUGCUUAUGCG
This 456-nucleotide ribosomal RNA is filed under the name Posthodiplostomum sp. 3 SAL-2008. Its description in RNAcentral is "eukaryotic LSU rRNA". The stretch from base 27 to 179 matches the Rfam family "5.8S ribosomal RNA". Lineage: Eukaryota; Metazoa; Platyhelminthes; Trematoda; Diplostomida; Diplostomidae. The record is from RNAcentral.